UAUAAGUACACGCCUUAAAAAGGUGAAACCGCGAACGGCUCAUUACAACAGCUAUAAUCUACUCGGUCUUGAUCAGUUACUCGGAUAACUGUGGUAAUUCUAGAGCUAAUACGUGCACCGAUGCUGUCCCUUGCGGGGCAGUGCAUUUGUUGGAGCAAAACCAGGCGGCUUCGGCCGUUUUUGCUGACUCAGAACAACUUAGCUGAUCGCAUGGGCUUGUCCCGGCGACGUACCGUCCGAGUGUCUGCCUUAUCAACUUUCGAUGGUAGUGUACGUGACUACCAUGGUUGUGACGGGUAACGGAGGAUAAGGGUUCGACUCCGGAGAAGGGGCCUGAGAAAUGGCCACUACGUCUAAGGAUGGCAGCAGGCGCGCAAAUUACCCACUCUCGGUUCGAGGAGGUAGUGACGAAAAAUAACAAGGCUGUUCUCUACGAGGCCAGCCAUUGGAAUGGGUACAACACAAACCCUUUAACGAGUAUCAAUGAGAGGGCAAGUCUGGUGCCAGCAGCCGCGGUAAUUCCAGCUCUCAAAAUGCAUAGAACCAUUGCUGCGGUUAAAAAGCUCGUAGUUGGAUCUGUGCCGGCGACGUGGUCCACCCGAAAGGGCGGUACUGCGCUCGUCGGCUUUGGGCCGGUCUUCGUGCGGUCGCUUUUAUCGGUGGCCGUCCGUGGCUGGCUGGUUUACUUUGAGCAAAUCAGAGUGCUCAGCACAGGCGUUUCGCCGGAAUGUUCGUGCAUGGAAUAAUAGAAAAGGAUUUCGGUUCUCUUUUAUUGGUUUUGUGGACUGAGAUAAUGGUUAACAGAGACGAACGGGGGCAUUCGUAUUGCUGCGUGAGAGGUGAAAUUCUUGGACCGCAGCAGGACGGACUACAGCGAAAGCAUUUGCCAAGCGCGUCUUCAUUAAUCAAGAACGAAAGUCAGAGGUUCGAAGGCGAUCAGAUA
This 943-nucleotide ribosomal RNA is filed under the name Criconema acriculum. RNAcentral's name for it is "SSU rRNA". It matches the Rfam family "Eukaryotic small subunit ribosomal RNA", at positions 58 to 1014 of the family's 1831-position model. The record is from RNAcentral. Lineage: Eukaryota; Metazoa; Nematoda; Chromadorea; Rhabditida; Criconematidae.